CGCCCCCUUUCCUUGUCUGAGUUCUUUUCAGAAAGCUCUGCGAUUUUUCCGGCCGACGCCCUGACUCCCAACCCAAGAAGAGUAUCAGCCCUCGCCCCAUACACUUCUAUGUCCACCGUUUCGCAAAGUCCUCCCUCUUCCAUCCCCUCUUCGAUCAAGAACCAAGGAUAGGAUUAGACGAGGGUUCCUCCCUCGCUUCCGAGAACCCCGAACCGAUCCCAGAGCAAUUCCAAGAUCUCCGUUCUCUUCGGUUCCACAUUCGAGGGAUUGGCGCUCGUGGUUCGGGAAGCGAUCCAAGAAUCCGAUGAGAUGGGGAAGCCCGAAGGGGACUGGGGGGCUCAGUCGCAACCCGCCACCGCCGACCUCCUCCGCUGCCUCAGCGAAUCGCAGUCCAAGUGGGUGUGCGAGACGGUGAAUGGGUCGCACCAGAACACAGCGAAGGGGUGCUCCCUGGUGAAGGGGAUGGGUCCCGGGAUGUACAUAACCAGAGACAUCUUCAGCGUCGGCGGCUACCCGUGGGCGGUCUACUUCUACCCGGAAUGGCAAGAACUUCGGGGACAACUCCUUCUAUGUGCCGAUGUUCAUCGCCCUCGCAAAUGAGGGCACGGGGGUGCUAUUCCUGUUCAAGCUGCUCGACCAGAGCGGCAAGGGGAAGCACAAGGUGCACAGCAACUUCGAUCCGGCGCUGGCUGGUUAUUGAAUGCAGGGGGUGGGCGAAUGUGGUACGUUGCAGGAACAUAUUUGGUUCUCGAAUGUUUUAUUGUUUCUUUUCCUAUUUGCAGCUGUGUUCCAGGCUUCGCUAUUCGUUUAUUUAUUUUGCUUCUUGGUUGGAUUCAAUAGAAUCGGAGAAUGUGAUAUGCUUCUAGCUAUAGUUUCUUUAUAGCUAUUUGUUUUUCAAAUCUCCCAUCAUGUUUUCAUGUGUCACUAUGAUAUGAUUUUGUGCUACAAUUCUUCUUAAAUUGUUUGUGCUGGAAUGUUUUAGAUAGAAUACAAAUAAUGCUUCUUGAUUUAUGUGUUUAAACUGGGCAAGGGGCAUAGAUGCCGGCAACUGUAAAGAAAGAGGAUAGGCUGAGGUCAAAUUGAGUUCUUGACGAUGUUUUGACUCUUGCUAAGUUUUCUUAUUUAAGCUCUACUGAGUUCAGCAUAUGUCAGCAUUGGUUCUUGGAACAAUAAAAGCCCAGACUUUAAGCAGUCAGAGAUAUCUAAGUAAUAUACGAUAUUAUCUGAUUUCCUCACAAUUGAUGCCUAUAGAGGAGGAUUUUAAUGACAUUUUCUGAUUUUCUUGUAAGAAAUGCUCAUAGAUAAUUAAUUAACAAAUUAUUUGACAGAAAUUCAGGGAUGUUGAAAAGGGAUUUUUUUUAGUAGAAAAAACAGCUUAGUUACAAAUGUAAGUGGAGCACUGAAAAUUUCUGUAAUAAAAGCCCAACCAAUAUGGGAGUCAGCAGGAGUGUGAUCGGUUACAGAUUAAAAUCUGAUGAGACGCGCUGUCAAAAGCAUUUCAUUUUGUGAGACCAAUCCACUCCCUAUUCUGCAGUGUCAUCUACUAGGCAAAGGUGUCCUGUGCUGGACAAAUUUGUUGUCGAUCUUUUAUCAGCCCUGACCUGACUGGUAUUUUCUCAAUAAGGUGUUCUGUUUUGUAUUAUCUGUGCUGGUUCUCUACUUUGUGCACACCAGGUAUAUUUCCACUUCUGUACCUUUUUGACUCAUAACUAUAUUUUCUUUUUUAAUGCGAGGUUUUAUAGAUUAUUCUGAAAAUCUUUUGUUAGGCAUUAUAAACAUUUUCUUCAGGACCGCAUUGGAAACAUCAGAUUAUCUUAUGGAUGAUUGCCUAGUCAUGCGUUGCACAGUGGUUGUUAGAAAUUGCAUAGAAAUACCGAGGCAAUUUUCUAUACCUUUGCCACCACCAAACAUGGGUAAGGGUCUUAAGGAGCUGUUGGAAUCUUGUAUUGGUUCUAACAUUACUCUGAGGCUGGUGAUGAGACAUUCCAAGCUCAUAAGCACAUUACUCUGAGGUUGGUGAUGAGACAUUCCAAGCUCAUAAGCAGAUUCUUGCUGCUUGCUCGCCUGUGUCUGAUGCCUAAUUCUUUGGGCUAACUGGGGAUCCAGAGAUGGAUGGAGUGAUUGUGCAAGAUGCUAAACCUCCUGUUUCAAGGCCGGACCGAACCGGCUGGUACGGCCAGUUCAUCUCACCAUUCCAUCUGUUCAUAAAAGGGUGAUAUGUUUCCGUCAAUUGCAUCUAACAGCUUGGUUUGGGAGAUGCAAGGAGAUGCAAUUGACAGAAACAUACCGCUGCCUGUUCCAGUCAAGACAUACCACCCUACUUCUGUAUACCGUGGCUGGUGGCAUAUGAUCGUGCUGGUCAAAUCACCUACUUGAGUGUGAUUUCCUCAAGGAUUUGUUUACUUCAUAGAUUUUGUCGAGAGUUUACAGAUUUCACCCAAAGAGAUGUAUUUAUCGGUAGCUCCAUAUAUCACAAGCAUGCAAUCAUUCUUUUAAAGUCUCA
Molecule: non-coding RNA, 2503 nt
Organism: Phoenix dactylifera (date palm)
Lineage: Eukaryota; Viridiplantae; Streptophyta; Magnoliopsida; Arecales; Arecaceae
Source: RefSeq, a predicted model, not a curated record